UACGGAGGAUCCAAGCGUUAUCCGGAUUUAUUGGGUUUAAAGGGUGCGUAGGCGGAUUGAUAAGUUAGAGGUGAAAUGUCCGAGCUCAACUCGGGAACUGCCUCUAAUACCGUUGAUCUAGAGAGUAGAUGCGGUAGGCGGAAUGUAUGGUGUAGCGGUGAAAUGCUUAGAGAUCAUACAGAACACCGAUUGCGAAGGCAGCUUACCAAUCUAUAUCUGACGUUGAGGCACGAAAGCGUGGGGAGCAAACAGG
RNAcentral lists this ribosomal RNA (253 nucleotides) under uncultured bacterium. RNAcentral describes it as "partial 16S ribosomal RNA". It matches the Rfam family "Bacterial small subunit ribosomal RNA", at positions 524 to 776 of the family's 1533-position model. The record is from RNAcentral.